Molecule: non-coding RNA, 2983 nt
Organism: Macaca mulatta (Rhesus monkey)
Lineage: Eukaryota; Metazoa; Chordata; Mammalia; Primates; Cercopithecidae
Source: RefSeq, a predicted model, not a curated record
AAGCAGCAGAAUUCUUAGGUUUAAAUACAUUGUUUUAUAGAUUUUAAUACAUCCAUCUACAGAGCCUCGCAGGGUGACCUUUGAGGUUGGCCUUUAAUGUCUUAUGUGGGUCUGCCUAGAAACUAAUCGUUUUUUAUGUUAAUCAGGUUUAAAAGUACUAAGUAUUCCUAAAAAAUAUACACACCACUUACAUGUGGAUACUUCCUAAAAACAAGCAGUGCAUGAGCACUAGUGAGGGGCAUUGUGACUGCGUUGAACACUUGCAACUGUGAGGUGAAUAAAGUCUGUACUGACUCGUGGUUGCAACAUACAGUACCACAGUGUGCUGCUUUGUAUUGAGGAGAUGUCCUGGACUCACCCGGAAACUCAAGGCUACGGAAUGGUGGUAAAUUUAAAAUACAACAAGUGGGAGUCACAGAUACAUUGUCUGGGAAAGUGAAACUUAGGAGCUUUGUGAAUCCUGUUGUAACGCUUUUAGACACAUUUAUAUAUCAAGGGGCCAAAGUCACAUUUUUCACCAAUUAGAUUCCUGAUCAUUCAGGGGUUACCAAGACUCUGCUACUCACUGUAGUUAAUAAACAAAAAGCAAACUGGUCUCUGUUCUAUCUCAUGCACUCAGGCACAACUUUUCCAGAUUUAAAGAGAAAGAAAAAAGAAAAGAAAAAGAAGCCCUGUCUCUACACCUCCAUUCCCAGGGCAAGCUCACUCUCUGGCAACAAGCUCUCUGGGGUGAGUUUUCUUCUAGAAGAGUCCACUGGGACAGGUAACAGGUUUUUAGAGAAGCCAGAGUCGCCGCGGUCCCGGUUCUAAAGUCCUCGCUCACCCACUCAGACUCAGAUUCUCCCCAGACGCCAAGGAUGGUGGUCAUGGCGCCCCGAACCCUCCUGCUGCUGCUCUCGGGGGCUCUGGCCCUGACAGAGACAUGGGCGGGUGAGUGCGGGAUCGGGAGAUGGCCUCUGCGGGGAGGGGCCAGGGGACCGCCCGACGGUGGUGCAGGACCCGGGGAGCCGCGCGGGGAGGAGGGUCGGGCGGGUCUCAGCCCCUCCUCGCCCCCAGGCUCCCACUCCAUGAGGUACUUCAGCGCUGCCCUGUCCCGGCCCGGCCGCGGGAAGCCCCGCUUCAUCGCGGUGGGCCACGUGGAAGACACGCAGUUCCUGCGGCUCGAUAGCGACGCUGCGAGUCCGAGGAUGGAGCCUCGGGCGCCGUGGGUGGAGCAGGAGGGGCCAGAGUAUUGGGAAGAGGAGACACGGAUCGCCAAGGCCCACGCACACACUGACAGAGUGAACCUGCGGACACUGCGCAGCUACUACAACCAGAGCCAGGCCGGUGUGAACAGUUCGCCUACGAUGGCAAGGAUUACCUCGCCCUGAACGAGGACCUGUGCUCCUGAACCGCAGCGGACACUGUGGCUCAGAUCUCCAAGCGCAAGUGUGAGGCGGCCAAAGCGACUGAACGAAGGAGAGCCUACCUGGAGGGCACAUCCCCCCAAUUCACACGUGACCCACCAUCCUGUCUUUGACUAUGAUGCCACCCUGAGGUGCUGAGCCCUGGGCUUCUACCCUGUGGAGAUCAGACUGACCUGGCAGUGGGAGAGUGAGGACCAGACCCACGACGUGGAGCUCGUGGGGACCAGGCCUGCAGGGGAUGGAACCUUCCAGAAGUGGGCAGCUGUGGUGGUGCCUUCUGGAGAGGAGCAGAGAUUCACGUGCUAGGUGCAGCACCAGGGGCUGCCUGAGCCCCUCAUGCUCAGAUGGAGUAAGGAGGGAGAUGGAGGUGUCAUGUCUCUUAGGGAAAGCAGGAGCCCCUCUGGAGACCUUUAACAGGGUCGGUGGUGGGGCCUGGGGUCAGAGACCCUCACCUUCCCCUCCUUUCCCAGAGCGGUCUUUCCAGCCCACUAUCCUCAUCAUGGGCAUCAUUGCUGGACUGGUUGUCUUUGCAGCUGUUGUCACUGAAGCUGUGGUCACUUUUGUGCUGUGGAGGAAGAAGAGCUCUGAGUUUUUUUGUCCCACUGAGGGUUCCAAGCCCCAGGUAGAAAUGCCCUGCCUGGUUACUGGGAAGCACCAUCUACACUCAUGGGCCGACCCAGCCUACGCCCUGUGUGCCAGCACUUACUCUUUUGUAAAGCACAUGUGACAAAGAAGCACAGAUUUAUCACCUUGAUGAUUGUAGUGAUGGGGACCUGAUCCCAGUAAUCACAGGUCAGGGGAAGGUCCCUGGCUAAGGACAGACCUUAGGAAGGCAGUUAGUCCAGGACCCACAUCUGGUUUCCUUGUUUUCCCUUAUCCUGCCCUGGGUCUGCAGUCACACAUUUCUGGAAACUUCUCUGGGGUCCAAGACUAGCAGUUUCCUCUAGGGUCUCAUGGUGCUGCCACCUUUCUGACCUCUCAAAGGACAUUUUCUUCUCACAGAUAGAAAAGGAGGGAGCUACUCUUGUGCUGAUUUGUUGCAGAGGAGGAGACUAGAUGGGGCUGUGCACAGUGGGUGCUCAGGCCACCAUGAACUUUAUGUGGUCACUGCUCAGCUGGGUCAUCUUUGCUGCUCCAUUGUCUUUGGCUCUUCAGUAGAACCUUGUCCCAGCAGGACCUGUGAUCACAGGUGUUAGGCAGGAAUCUAGACCCAACAUGGCGGCGUUACCCGGCGUAGCAGGCCUUCUGUUAAAGACUCCCUUCACCCUUGUACACACCCGCAGACUUCCAUGCAUCAGAGUUCUGGCUGGGCAACCACACUCCCCCAUGACCCGCAGCUCACCUGCAUUCCACAAGUUCGUAAACAGCAGUUUCGGUUGACAGUUUCCAAAGACCCCUUCCUCAUGACCCUUACUCAACUCCUGCCCUAGUAGUUUCAAGAUCCCCCAGGCCCUGUUUGCACUACCAGCUUCCCUACCUCUCGGGCUAUAAAAAGCCCCUCAGCGCUAAUUCCUCGGCCCGCACCUUUGGACCGAGAAACCUCGCCUGCGAGUCCUAAUAAAGGCUAUUCUCACUGC